CAGUGGCUGUGCAGUCAAGGAGAGCUCGGAGCUGGCUCUAUGGGAGAGGGACCUUCUCCUGUCACAGCCUUCCCAGCUGGGAGAAGCAGCGCCGGCUCUGCCCCCAGAGCCCUAUCAGCCGAGCCUGUGGAGAAUUAAUCACUUGCGUUUUAAAUGCCAAUACAGCCCUUUCUGCCUUCUUCCCCCAGUGAUGCGGAUGCGGCGAAGGCAGCAAAUCCUCCGGCUGUGCGUGCCCUCCCCGGACUGCUGCUGCCGCGCUCGCGUGUGUGCGUGGCUGGGAGCGCUGCCUAGGUGCAGCCGGGAAUGAGGCAGCUGUGGGGCAGGGGACAGCACAGCUCCAGGGGUAACUGAUACAAGGCGGGGGGGACCCCCCCAUUAAGAUCACACACCCCUGUGGGGCUCCAAGUUGCUAGAAGACAGGGGUCUAUUGUGCCUCUACUUCAUCUCUGCCAUGCCCGGUAUGGAAGCAGGGCGCAAUCGCCCCUCCAGAAGCAGAAGGCGAAGUCGUUCGCAAUGAAUCCAUGGCAGCUUCGAUCGAGUGGUGAGCUGAAGCACCUACUCACAGGCCACUCCUUGAUGUGACUGAAGAGAGGCCUUUCCCAGCACUCGCCGAGGAGAGCAGAGCCCUGGAUUUACCUCCUGCACACCCUGGCACCCCCAGCACUGGCACCGCGAGAUUCCAGUGACAGAUGGAUCUCUCUCGUGUGCACUUGCUCUUUUCCUCUCUGUAUUUAUGUUUUCAACAUGUUUGAUCAGAAGCUCUGAAGCUUCUCAGAAGUGAACCUGGGGAAGAAGGAAGAGAAGGAGAAAGAACUGAGGGAGCGUGAGCGACAGAGGAGGCAACCCUGCGUUGUACUUCCGAAUCACACCGUGGAGGGGCGAGGGAAGACUA
This is a long non-coding RNA of Neopsephotus bourkii (Bourke's parrot), 892 nucleotides long. RefSeq lists it as uncharacterized. NCBI's taxonomy places the organism in Eukaryota, Metazoa, Chordata, Aves, Psittaciformes, Psittacidae. The record is from RefSeq and is a predicted model, not a curated record. The transcript has 3 exons.